Molecule: long non-coding RNA, 1454 nt
Filed under: Anas zonorhyncha (Eastern spot-billed duck)
Lineage: Eukaryota; Metazoa; Chordata; Aves; Anseriformes; Anatidae
Description: lncRNA (ENSAZOG00000016540.1)
Source: RNAcentral
GAGGUGGGGGGGGAGCAGAGGAGGCGCUGGGCUGGGGCUGGGGGGGCUUUUUCUUCUUUUUCACCCCCAUUUUUUUUAUUUUUUCUUAUUUAAAUCGCUGCGUUUCAUUACGAGGGAGCGCCAAAAAAUAAUAAUAAUAAAAAAAAAAUUAAAAAAAAAGUCAAAAAAAAAAAAAGUCAAAAAAAAAAAGUCAAAAAAAAAAAGUCAAAAAAAAAGUCGAAAAAAAAAUUAAAAAAAAAAUAUAAAAUAUUCCUUUGAUACACAAAAUCAAAUUGAUAUUUAGCCUCUGCUUACUUUUUUAUGCAUGGCUCCCUUCGCCGCGCGGUAGUGACAGAUUGUUUGAGCUGGGAGGAAAAGCCAUUCAGAGCUAAUUAAGCAGCCAUUCCGGGCACUAUUUGCAAGCGGGAGGCUGCAAAGCAGAGGCAUUUGUCAGCGCUCCGCCCCACGUGGCUUUGAUUGACAGCUCCGCCGCCCGAGUGGCAGCCGCGCCGCCGCCGCCCAAUGGGGUGGCGGGAGGAGACAGCGCCGUGCUCUGAUUGGUCGGAGGGGGGUUUGAGUGACAGCUGCCCCACGUGGGGUGGGGAGGCUCCGGGUGACGCGCGGCGCGGGAGCCAUUUUGUGCCGCCGGGAUGGGGCUGCGGGGCUCGGCCGGGAAUGGGGCCGGGAUGGGGACGGGAGCGGGGCUCCCCCGGGCACUGCGGGGCUGGGACCGGCGGUGGAGCCCGGUAGCUCCCUGAGAAGGGGUUCAGCGGGGCUCGCAGCCGCUCCCGGGGCUCUUUUUCCCUUUGUGCCAACCAUUUUCCCCGCGUUCAACCUCAAACAGCGUGAAAAAAUUUUAAAAUCGGGCAAAAAAACAAAAAAAACACCAAAAACCGGCAGCCCCGCAACCUCCCGCUCGGGGCCGUCCCGGUGCCGCCCGGUGGCGGGGCCGCCCCUCCCGCGCUGCCCAUUGUGACGUCCCUUACGGCGGCGUCCAAUCAGCGGCCUCCCCCUCCGCCCCCACGUGGGUUCCCCGCGUUGCUAUUGGCUGCCUGGCCUCCGAGGCCGCCCGGGCUGCUGGCCCCGCCCAGCGGCGGGCGCGCUNNNNNNNNNNCUUCCCCUCGGCCCCCCCAAGCCCAGCAUGGCCCGAGGAGCCCCGGCGCCGCCGCCGCCGCCGUUCCGGAGCUGAACCGAGAGCCGGGAGGAGCGGAGCGGAGCGGCCGGUGCCGUCGCUCGGAUGUGUACGGCCUUCUCCCCCUCCUCCUCCUCUCCUCCAUGGCCGUCGUGCUCCGCCUUCUCGGCCUCUCCGGGAGCGCUCCGUGGCCGGCGGGCAGCAGCGCACGUCGCGAUCGUCGCGGCUGGCUCCAGUGACCGCGCCCCAGCCCGGCCAUGUACCCCCAGGGCCGGCACCCGGUGAGUCCCGGACCCCCCCUUCCCUUGGCUGAGCUUCCCCCAAUUCCCUUUUUCCCACCCCA